UCCUCGCAGACCACUAGCAUGCUGGAGUCGAACGUCUGCGGAUAGAUACCCAUCUUGGAUUCCAAAGCAUUUUGUUACGGCCUGCUUAUUUCGAUGGGGCAAGGCCGGCUAGCCAGUCAUCAACAGGGCGGAUUCUUCCCCUGUGCCCACAGGUCGCACCAUAAAUUCCACUCGGCAUGGAAUCCACAAAAACAACAAAGAAACAUCAACAGAAACUACAAGUGAAGCCCUAAUACCGGACGACACGACGCAGAUUUGGGUCUUCGAUGGAAAGGACCCUGACGCACCCCCCCUACCAAGGAUCCGUCUAUUUCCCAUUUGAGGAUCUCCCUGGCAUGUGGUUCAUCGGCUUCCUCCAGGUUAUCGGCUCAUCCGUUCGUCUUCAGAAUUCCUGCCUACAUGGAGCUCCAAGGAGGAUCAGGGGCUGAGACGGGUCAGGUGGUUAUUUACGAAAGGUCCAUACUCCUACACAGGAUCGGCCUGGUCUUCUCGGAGGUCGUAUUCCAAGAUUUAGAUUUAAUUUUGCUUGGACUCGGCGCGAUUUAAUUGUACAUAAGUUACUGGUUAUUUAUAUCAUAUUUAUAUUUUUUUGGA
This is a long non-coding RNA of Drosophila santomea, 594 nucleotides long. RefSeq lists it as uncharacterized. The record is from RefSeq and is a predicted model, not a curated record. The transcript has 2 exons. Lineage: Eukaryota; Metazoa; Arthropoda; Insecta; Diptera; Drosophilidae.